UACGGAGGGUGCAAGCGUUGUUCGGAAUUAUUGGGCGUAAAGCGUGUCUCGGUGGAUUGGUAAGUCAGGUGUGAAAGAUCCAGGCUCAACCUGGAAAUUGCGCUUGAUACUGCUAGUCUUGAGUUGGGGAGGGAUGAGCGGAAUUCCUGGUGUAGCAGUGAAAUGCGUAGAGAUCAGGAGGAACACCGGUGGCGAAAGCGGCUCAUUGGCCCUACACUGACACUCAAGCACGAAAGCGUGGGUAGCAAACAGG
This 253-nucleotide ribosomal RNA is filed under the name uncultured bacterium. Its description in RNAcentral is "partial 16S ribosomal RNA". It matches the Rfam family "Bacterial small subunit ribosomal RNA", at positions 524 to 776 of the family's 1533-position model. The record is from RNAcentral.